This 519-nucleotide ribosomal RNA is filed under the name uncultured eukaryote. RNAcentral's name for it is "SSU rRNA". It matches the Rfam family "Eukaryotic small subunit ribosomal RNA", at positions 1161 to 1703 of the family's 1831-position model. The record is from RNAcentral.
AGGGCACCACCAGGAGUGGAGCCUGCGGCUUAAUUUGACUCAACACGGGAAAUCUCACCAGGCCCGGACACUGGAAGGAUUGACAGAUUGAGAGCUCUUUCUCGAUUCGGUGGGUGGUGGUGCAUGGCCGUUCUUAGUUGGUGGAGUGAUUUGUCUGGUUAAUUCCGAUAACGAACGAGACUCUGUCCUGCUAAAUAGUUCCCGCGUCCUUUGUUGCGCGGGAAAUUCUUCUUAGAGGGACUGGCGGCGUCUAGCCGCACGAGAUUGAGCAAUAACAGGUCUGUGAUGCCCUUAGAUGCUCUGGGCCGCACGCGCGCUACACUGAAGGGAUCAGCGUGUCUUCCCUUCCCGAGAGGGACGGGUAACCCGCUGAACCCCCUUCGUGGUAGGGAUCGGGGCUUGCAAUUAUUCCCCGUGAACCAGGAAUUCCCAGUAAGCGCAAGUCAUAAGCUUGCGUUGAUUACGUCCCUGCCCUUUGUACACACCGCCCGUCGCUACUACCGAUUGAACGUUUUAGUG